UGGGGAAUAUUGCACAAUGGGCGCAAGCCUGAUGCAGCAACGCCGCGUGAACGAUGAAGGUCUUCGGAUCGUAAAGUUCUGUUGCAGGGGAAGAUAAUGACGGUACCCUGUGAGGAAGCCCCGGCUAACUACGUGCCAGCAGCCGCGGUAAGACGUAGGGGGCUAGCGUUAUUCGGAUGUACUGGGCGUAAAGGGUGCGUAGGUGGUCUUUCAAGUCGGUGGUUAAAGGCUACGGCUCAAACGUAGUUAGCCUCUGAAACUUGAAGACUUGAGUGCAGGAGAGGAAGGUGGAAUUCCCAGUGUAGCGGUGAGAUGCGUAGAGAUUGGGAGGAAAACCAGUAGCGAAUGCGGCUUUCUGGGCUGCAACUGACACUGAGGCACGAAAGCGUGGGUAGCAAACAGG
Molecule: ribosomal RNA, 403 nt
Filed under: Verrucomicrobiota bacterium
Lineage: Bacteria; Pseudomonadati; Verrucomicrobiota
Description: Verrucomicrobia bacterium partial 16S ribosomal RNA
Rfam family: Bacterial small subunit ribosomal RNA
Source: RNAcentral